RNAcentral lists this long non-coding RNA (404 nucleotides) under Setaria viridis. Its description in RNAcentral is "long non-coding RNA (SVIR_LNC002489)". The record is from RNAcentral. Lineage: Eukaryota; Viridiplantae; Streptophyta; Magnoliopsida; Poales; Poaceae.
GAUCGAUGGAGACGGCGGAACCUGAUGGACUGGAACCAAGGAGCUGCUACCUAAUAAUAACCGAUUACUGCAGCGAUUGAAUAAACCGUGUGUUAUGUUGUAAUCGCGGAUUUCGGAGUUGUAUUUGCGUCAGACUGUCGGUCACAGUGUGACUAGUGUCCUGUCCCUUCUGUGAGCCUGGCCUUAGUGCCUCACCAUGUGAGGAGUGACCUGUAUUGUGGAGGAGUAGCCUCGAUCUGAUCCUGCAUUGUGGUGCGAUCCUUCUGGCUUUCUUUCGAUUUCCGGCGCCACAACUCUGUAUCAUCUCGUCUCCUUUGUUCUACUGAAUGAAUAUGCAUCUGCAUUCCGUUUCACCUAUCUUUGCGCUGGGGACCAACUCUGUUCCAUGGUCCACGUGAAACCCC